AUGGUGCAGAGGCCAAAGAUUUAUCGGUGUAGGAUGAGCUCGCGUCUGAUUAGCUAGUUGGUGAGGUAAUGGCUCACCAAGGCGACGAUCAGUAGCCGGCCUGAGAGGGUGAACGGCCACACUGGAACUGAGACACGGUCCAGACUCCUACGGAAGGCAGCAGUGGGGAAUAUUGGGCAAUGGGCGCAAGCCUGACCCAGCAACGCCGUGUGAGGGAUGAAGGCCUUCGGGUCGUAAACCUCUGUCAGAAGGGAAGAAUGGGCAUAGUUCGAAUAGGGCUAUGUUGUGACGGUACCUUCAGAGGAAGCACCGGCUAACUCCGUGCCAGCAGCCGCGGUAAUACGGAGGGUGCGAGCGUUAUUCGGAAUCACUGGGCGUAAAGGGCGCGUAGGCGGUCUGGUAAGUCAGGGGUGAAAUCCCACGGCCCAACCGUGGAAACUGCCUUUGAAACUGCUGGGCUUGGAUCCUGGAGAGGGUGGCGGAAUUCCUGGUGUAGGAGUGAAAUCCGUAGAUAUCAGGAGGAACACCGGUGGCAAAGGCGGCCACCUGGACAGGUAUCGACGCUGAGGCGCGAAAGUGUGGGGAGCAAACAGGAUUAGAUACCCUGGUAGUCCACACCGUAAACGAUGGAUACUAGGUGUUGGGGGGAUUUCCCUCAGUGCCGGAGCUAACGCGUUAAGUAUCCCGCCUGGGGAGUACGGUCGCAAGGCUGAAACUCAAAGAAAUUGACGGGGGCCCGCACAAGCGGUGGAGUAUGUGGUUUAAUUCGAUGCAACGCGAAGAACCUUACCUGGGCUUGACAUCCUGGGAAUCCUGCAGAGAUGCGGGAGUGCCCUUCGGGGAACCCAGAGACAGGUGCUGCAUGGCUGUCGUCAGCUCGUGCCGUGAGGUGUUGGGUUAAGUCCCGCAACGAGCGCAACCCUUGUUCCUAGUUGCCAUCAGGUAAGGCUGGGCACUCUAGGGAGACUGCCCGGGUCAACCGGGAGGAAGGUGGGGACGACGUCAAGUCAUCAUGGCCCUUACGCCCAGGGCUACACACGUACUACAAUGGCGGGUACAAAGGGCAGCGAUACCGCGAGGUGGAGCGAAUCCCAAAAAACCCGUCGUAGUCCGGAUUGCAGUCUGCAACUCGACUGCAUGAAGUUGGAAUCGCUAGUAAUCGCGGAUCAGCAUGCCGCGGUGAAUACGUUCCCGGGCCCUU
RNAcentral lists this ribosomal RNA (1201 nucleotides) under uncultured Pseudomonadota bacterium. RNAcentral's name for it is "bacterial SSU rRNA". It matches the Rfam family "Bacterial small subunit ribosomal RNA", at positions 189 to 1383 of the family's 1533-position model. The record is from RNAcentral. Lineage: Bacteria; Pseudomonadati; Pseudomonadota.